AUUGAACGCUGGCGGCGUGCCUAACACAUGCAAGUCGAGCGGCAGCGCGGGAGCAAUCCUGGCGGCGAGCGCGGACGGGUGAGUAAUGCUUGGGAAUCUGCCUGUUAGUGGGGGACAACCCGGGGAAACUCGGGCUAAUACCGCAUACGCACUACGGUGGAAAGCCGGGGACCGCAAGGCCUGGCGCUAACAGAUGAGCCCAAGUCGGAUUAGCUAGUUGGUAGGGUAACGGCCACCAAGGCGACGAUCCGUAACUGGUCUGAGAGGACGACCAGUCACACCGGAACUGAGACACGGUCCGGACUCCUACGGGAGGCAGCAGUGGGGAAUAUUGGACAAUGGGGGAAACCCUGAUCCAGCGACGCCGCGUGGGUGAAGAAGGCCUGCGGGUUGUAAAG
RNAcentral lists this ribosomal RNA (398 nucleotides) under uncultured bacterium. Its description in RNAcentral is "bacterial SSU rRNA". It matches the Rfam family "Bacterial small subunit ribosomal RNA", at positions 29 to 430 of the family's 1533-position model. The record is from RNAcentral.